This 253-nucleotide ribosomal RNA is filed under the name uncultured bacterium. RNAcentral describes it as "partial 16S ribosomal RNA". It matches the Rfam family "Bacterial small subunit ribosomal RNA", at positions 524 to 776 of the family's 1533-position model. The record is from RNAcentral.
UACGUAGGUGGCGAGCGUUGUUCGGAUUCAUUGGGCGUAAAGGGUGCGUAGGCGGCGCGGUAAGUCGGGUGUGAAAUCUCGGGGCUUAACUCCGAAACUGCAUUCGAUACUGGCGUGCUUGAGGACUGGAGAGGAGACUGGAAUUCAUGGUGUAGCAGUGAAAUGCGUAGAGAUCAUGAGGAAGACCAGUGGCGAAGGCGGGUCUCUGGACAGUUCCUGACACUGAGACACGAAGGCCAGGGGAGCAAACGGG